AGUGAACGCUGGCGGUAGGCCUAACACAUGCAAGUCGAACGGCAGCACAGUAAGAGCUUGCUCUUACGGGUGGCGAGUGGCGGACGGGUGAGGAAUACAUCGGAAUCUACUUUUUCGUGGGGGAUAACGUAGGGAAACUUACGCUAAUACCGCAUACGACCUACGGGUGAAAGCAGGGGAUCUUCGGACCUUGCGCGAUUGAAUGAGCCGAUGUCGGAUUAGCUAGUUGGCGGGGUAAAGGCCCACCAAGGCGACGAUCCGUAGCUGGUCUGAGAGGAUGAUCAGCCACACUGGAACUGAGACACGGUCCAGACUCCUACGGGAGGCAGCAGUGGGGAAUAUUGGACAAUGGGCGCAAGCCUGAUCCAGCCAUACCGCGUGGGUGAAGAAGGCCUUCGGGUCGUAAAGCCCUUUUGUUGGGAAAGAAAAGCAGCAGGUUAAUACCCCGCUGUUCUGACGGUACCCAAAGAAUAAGCACCGGCCAACUUCGU
This 491-nucleotide ribosomal RNA is filed under the name uncultured bacterium. Its description in RNAcentral is "partial 16S ribosomal RNA". It matches the Rfam family "Bacterial small subunit ribosomal RNA", at positions 29 to 506 of the family's 1533-position model. The record is from RNAcentral.